AUUGAACGCUAGCGGGAUGCUUUACACAUGCAAGUCGAACGAGUCGCGGACGGGUGAGUACUAUAUCGGAACGUGCCCAGUAGCUGGGGACAACUACUCGAAAGAGUUGCUAAUACCGCCUACUAUUGGCGCGCCCGAUAUCGGAUUAGCUAGUUGGUGGGGUAAAGGCCCACAAAGGCAACGAUCCGUAGCUGGUUUGAGAGGACGCCCAGCCACACUGGGACUGAGAAACGGCCCAGACUCCUACGGGAGGCAGCAGUGGGGAAUGUUGGACAAUGGGGGAAACCCUGAUCCAGCCAUCCCGCGUGUAUGAGAAGGCCUUCGGGUUGUAAAGUACUUUUGGCAGGGAAGCGGUAUCUGCAGAAUAAGCACCGGCUAACUACGUGCCAGCAGCCGCGGUAAUUC
This 405-nucleotide ribosomal RNA is filed under the name uncultured bacterium. Its description in RNAcentral is "partial 16S ribosomal RNA". It matches the Rfam family "Bacterial small subunit ribosomal RNA", at positions 30 to 526 of the family's 1533-position model. The record is from RNAcentral.